This 238-nucleotide unclassified non-coding RNA is filed under the name uncultured fungus. RNAcentral describes it as "partial contains 5.8S ribosomal RNA, internal transcribed spacer 2, and large subunit ribosomal RNA". The stretch from base 1 to 52 matches the Rfam family "5.8S ribosomal RNA", at positions 103 to 154 of the family's 154-position model. Lineage: Eukaryota; Fungi. The record is from RNAcentral.
AACGCACAUUGCGCCCCUCGGUACUCCGGGGGGCAUGCCUGUCCGAGCGUCAUUGAAAACUAUCAAGCCUGGCUUGGUCUUGGGCGAGGUCUGGGGACCCGCCCGCAACCCGUCGGCGGUGCCGGUUCGGCCCUGAGCGUAGCAGAAAUACUCGCUCGGGGGUCGCUGCGGUGCCCGCCAGCAAAGUUCCCAUCUACAGUUUGACCUCGGAUCAGGUAGGGAUACCCGCUGAACUUAA